AAAUAUAUUUAUUUAAAGAAUUAUUAAUUUUAAGAAUAAUAUACUUUUGACCUUUUAAAGAGGGCAGACACGCAGAAGGCAAAUACUCUAACUUACAAGAGUAUAGUAACUAUGAAUCAUGAGGUAGAAGCUUAAUCAGUGAAAUGUAACGUUCAUGUUGAGCUUGCAUGUGCAUGGCUUUUGAGCUAUUACACAGCCAAAUUGAUGAGGGAAAAACAAGUGGUAUAACAUGCGUUACUGAAGAGAAAAUUAAUACUAGUUUAGUGGAAAUAUUCAACAAAAUUGAAAGGCAAUCGAGCUUUGGACCCAACAGAAUAUUUAUUUAAUAACUUUGGGAUUCUAAUCCAACGGUCAACAUGAACUCAUCAAAUAUAUUAUGUCCAAGCAAUCUUAACCUGGAGAAUUGGACCAGCAACAGAUCAUCACGGCAAUAUUCAAAUAUCGCUCUUUUAUUAAGUUACCAAUUGUUGUAGUUUACACAUUUUGAUCAUGAUACUAUCACAAAUAAUUAAAUGGACCCAUUUGAUAAACGGUGUUGAUCAACUAGUUUCGCUGCAUCAAUAAUAAGAUCUACGUAAAUUUACUUAUUUGUUUUUUUUUUAAAUCACGAAUUAUCUACAUGAAUUUUGUUAAAAAAGAGUUUAGAUCAUGAGAAAAUUUUGGCGUGACUUUAUAAAUACAAAAAGCAUAAUAAACAAUCCUAAUAUCACCUUAUUAUUGAGAUGAGUAAUGAUAUAGUUACAAAUUCUUGUAUAAACUUAUUUUGUAUAAAUUGAUGUGACGUUAAUUCAUUGGUUGAAUUGAAUAUCUUUUGACCCGCAUGAUUUAUUUAUAUUAUUUUAUAUUUUUAUUCAAUC
Molecule: long non-coding RNA, 857 nt
Filed under: Citrus x clementina
Lineage: Eukaryota; Viridiplantae; Streptophyta; Magnoliopsida; Sapindales; Rutaceae
Description: Citrus clementina (C. clementina) long non-coding RNA (CCLE_LNC000472)
Source: RNAcentral